This 660-nucleotide ribosomal RNA is filed under the name uncultured bacterium. RNAcentral describes it as "bacterial SSU rRNA". It matches the Rfam family "Bacterial small subunit ribosomal RNA", at positions 94 to 788 of the family's 1533-position model. The record is from RNAcentral.
AGUGGCGGACGGGUGAGUAACGCGUGAGAAUCUGCCUUGGGGUCGGGGACAACCACUGGAAACGGUGGCUAAUACCGGAUAAGCCGAUUGGUGAAAGAUUUAUUGCCCGAAGAGGAGCUCGCGUCUGAUUAGCUAGUUGGUGAGGUAAGAGCUCACCAAGGCAGCGAUCAGUAGCUGGUCUGAGAGGACGAUCAGCCACACUGGGACUGAGACACGGCCCAGACUCCUACGGGAGGCAGCAGUGGGGAAUUUUCCGCAAUGGGCGAAAGCCUGACGGAGCAAGACCGCGUGAGGGAGGAAGUCUCUUGGGUUGUAAACCUCUUUUCUCAGGGAAGAAGCUCUGACGGUACCUGAGGAAUCAGCCUCGGCUAACUCCGUGCCAGCAGCCGCGGUAAUACGGAGGAGGCAAGCGUUAUCCGGAAUUAUUGGGCGUAAAGCGUCCGCAGGUGGCAAUUCAAGUCUGCUGUCAAAGCACGGGGCUUAACUCCGUUAAGGCAGUGGAAACUGAAUAGCUAGAGUGCCGUAGGGGUAGAGGGAAUUCCCGGUGUAGCGGUGAAAUGCGUAGAGAUCGGGAAGAACAUCGGUGGCGAAAGCGCUCUACUGGACGGCAACUGACACUCAGGGACGAAAGCUAGGGGAGCGAAUGGGAUUAGAUACCCC